Molecule: non-coding RNA, 72 nt
Organism: Danionella cerebrum
Lineage: Eukaryota; Metazoa; Chordata; Actinopteri; Cypriniformes; Danionidae
Source: the annotation of a GenBank genome assembly
GGUACUGUGGUGCAAUAGGUAGCACUGCUGCCUUUCAGUAAGAAGGUCACUGGUUCGAGCCAGCCGGUGGCA